Molecule: ribosomal RNA, 37 nt
Filed under: Candida tropicalis
Lineage: Eukaryota; Fungi; Ascomycota; Pichiomycetes; Serinales; Debaryomycetaceae
Description: partial 28S ribosomal RNA
Source: RNAcentral
UUUGACCUCAAAUCACGGAGGACUACCCGCUGAACUU